CGGCGAUGGCGGCUUGCGGGGCAACGCAGGAUUCCAAGACCGUCGAUCUGGAGGAUGGAUGGGACUUUAUCCGGAGGGGCAUCAACAAGCACAUCAACGUCCUCGAGGGCAAGCCAGAGCGGAGUACAACUCCGAGGACCACAUAAGGCUGUACGCGUAAGUCGCGUUCAUCCCCGCCUCCCUCCGUCCAUGCCUAGCAUAUGCCCGAUUAGAUCCGAUCUGAUAUGCAUGCAGAAGCAUCCGCGCGACGACUCGCAGCAGCUCUACCACAAGUCCACAAGUACCAGGACUCCUUUGAGGAGUAAAUCUCGGCCACGACUUGCAGGUUGGUGAUUAUUGGCUUUGCUGCAUUGGUUGGUUUAAAAUUCAGUUAAAGAAGGUGACUUUGCCCUCCAAGUUUUCGUCUAUGGGACUGUGCUGUUGUCGUUGCGGCUGUGAAUACAGAUGAAAGAAUCAACACUAAGUGGUGGGCUACUUAUGAAGAAGCAAAGACUAUAAUGCGGGAGUUCAGUUCGUGCAGGUGAGUAAAAUUGGAAGAGAGUGCAACGUGGCCGCACAUGAGAUAGCAGCUCAUGCUAGAGCUCAUGGAGAUUUUUAUAUACUGCAGAAUGUGCCACUGAAUGUCCUACAUGUAAUUGAG
Long non-coding RNA from Triticum aestivum (bread wheat), 640 nucleotides. RefSeq lists it as uncharacterized. NCBI's taxonomy places the organism in Eukaryota, Viridiplantae, Streptophyta, Magnoliopsida, Poales, Poaceae. The record is from RefSeq and is a predicted model, not a curated record. The transcript is spliced from 3 exons.